GUCGGGUGUGGUGGCGCACACCUGUAAUCUCAGCAGCUCGGGAGGCUGAGGCAGGAUUGCAAGUUCAAACUCAGCCUCAG
This 80-nucleotide small RNA is filed under the name Marmota monax (woodchuck). Lineage: Eukaryota; Metazoa; Chordata; Mammalia; Rodentia; Sciuridae. The record is from RNAcentral.